RNAcentral lists this ribosomal RNA (241 nucleotides) under uncultured bacterium. RNAcentral's name for it is "partial 16S ribosomal RNA". It matches the Rfam family "Bacterial small subunit ribosomal RNA", at positions 104 to 334 of the family's 1533-position model. The record is from RNAcentral.
UGGCGGGACGGGGUGGAGUAACGCGUGGGUAACCUGCCUCAUACAGGGGGAUAACAGUUAGAAAUGACUGCUAAUACCGCAUAAGACCACAGUACCGCAUGGUACAGGGGUAAAAACUCCGGUGGUAUGAGAUGGACCCGCGUCUGAUUAGGUAGUUGGUGGGGUAACGGCCUACCAAGCCGACGAUCAGUAGCCGACCUGAGAGGGUGACCGGCCACAUUGGGACUGAGACACGGCCCAA